AUACGGAGGAUGCGAGCGUUAUCCGGAUUUAUUGGGUUUAAAGGGUGCGUAGGCGGACGAUUAAGUCAGCUGUGAAAUGCCCGCGCUCAACGCGGGAAGUGCAGUUGAUACUGGUUGUCUGGAGUGCCGUUGCCGUGGGGGGAAUGUGUAGUGUAGCGGUGAAAUGCAUAGAUAUGACGAAGAACACCGAUUGCGUAGGCAGCUGACCAGACCGCAAAUGACGCUCAUGCACGAAAGUGCGGGGAUCGAACAGGAUUAGAUACCCUGGUAGUCCGCGCAGUAAACGAUGAAUACUUGUUUUCGGCGAUAUAAUGUCGGAGGCAAAGCGAAAGCGAUAAGUAUUCCACCUGGGGAGUACGCCGGCAACGGUGAAACUCAAAUGAAUUGACGGGG
Molecule: ribosomal RNA, 393 nt
Filed under: uncultured bacterium
Lineage: Bacteria
Description: partial 16S ribosomal RNA
Rfam family: Bacterial small subunit ribosomal RNA
Source: RNAcentral